Molecule: ribosomal RNA, 253 nt
Filed under: uncultured bacterium
Lineage: Bacteria
Description: partial 16S ribosomal RNA
Rfam family: Bacterial small subunit ribosomal RNA
Source: RNAcentral
UACGGGGGGGGCAAGCGUUGUUCGGAAUUACUGGGCGUAAAGGGCUCGUAGGCGGCCAACUAAGUCAGACGUGAAAUCCCCAGGCUCAACCUGGGAACUGCGUCUGAUACUGGAUGGCUUGAAUUCGGGAGAGGGAUGCAGAAUUCCAGGUGUAGCGGUGAAAUGCGUAGAUAUCUGGAGGAAUACCGGUGGCGAAGGCGGCAUCCUGGACCGACAUUGACGCUGAGGGGCGAAAGCUAGGGGAGCAAACGGG